GGCGAGUGAGCGGCAACAGCUCAAAUUUGAAAUCUGGUCCCCAGGGCCCGAGUUGUAAUUUGCAGAGGAUGCUUUUGGUGAGGUGCCUUCCGAGUUCCCUGGAACGGGACGCCAUAGAGGGUGAGAGCCCCGUCUGGUUGGAUACCGAGCCUCUGUAAAGCUCCUUCGACGAGUCGAGUAGUUUGGGAAUGCUGCUCUAAAUGGGAGGUAUAUGUCUUCUAAAGCUAAAUAUUGGCCAGAGACCGAUAGCGCACAAGUAGAGUGAUCGAAAGAUGAAAAGCACUUUGAAAAGAGGGUUAAAUAGUACGUGAAAUUGUUGAAAGGGAAGCACUUAUGACCAGACUUGGCCCCGGUGAAUCAUCCAGCGGUUCCCGCUGGUGCACUUUGCCGGGGUUCAGGCCAGCAUCAGUUCGCUCCGGGGGAUAAAGGCUUUGGGAAUGUGGCUCCCUCGGGAGUGUUAUAGCCCAUUGCGUAAUACCCUGUGGCGGGCUGAGGUUCGCGCUUUAUGCAAGGAUGCUGGCAUAAUGGUCAUCAGUGACCCGUCUUGAAACACGGACCAAGGAGUCGUCUUCGUAUGCGAGUGUUCGGGUGUUAAACCCCUACGCGUAAUGAAAGUGAACGCAGGUGAGAGCCCUCCAGGGCGCAUCAUCGACCGAUCCUGAUGUUCUCGGAUGGAUUUGAGUAAGAGCAUACGGGGCCGGACCCGAAAGAAGGUGAACUAUGCCUGUAUAGGGUGAAGCCAGAGGAAACUCUGGU
RNAcentral lists this ribosomal RNA (756 nucleotides) under fungal endophyte sp. DM263. RNAcentral describes it as "eukaryotic LSU rRNA". It matches the Rfam family "Eukaryotic large subunit ribosomal RNA", at positions 88 to 868 of the family's 3401-position model. The record is from RNAcentral. Lineage: Eukaryota; Fungi.